RNAcentral lists this ribosomal RNA (253 nucleotides) under uncultured bacterium. Its description in RNAcentral is "partial 16S ribosomal RNA". It matches the Rfam family "Bacterial small subunit ribosomal RNA", at positions 524 to 776 of the family's 1533-position model. The record is from RNAcentral.
GACAGAGGUGCCAAGCGUUAGGCGGAAUCACUGGGCUUAAAGCGUGUGUAGGCGGGUCGUUAAGUACCUUGUGAAAUCCCACGGCUCAACCGUGGAACUGCUCGGUAUACUGGCGAUCUUGAGCCACUUAGGGGCUACCGGAACAAAUGGUGGAGCGGUGAAAUGCGUAGAUAUCAUUUGGAACGCCAAUGGUGAAAACAGGUAGCUGGGAGUGUGCUGACGCUGAGACACGAAAGCCAGGGGAGCAAACGGG